Molecule: long non-coding RNA, 1907 nt
Organism: Oncorhynchus tshawytscha (Chinook salmon)
Lineage: Eukaryota; Metazoa; Chordata; Actinopteri; Salmoniformes; Salmonidae
Source: Ensembl
UGUUGACUCUACAAGGUGUCGAAAGCGUUCCACAGGGAUGCUGGCCCAUGUUGACUCUACAAGCUGUCGAAAGCGUUCCACAGGGAUGCUGGCCCAUGUUGACUCUACAAGGUGUCGAAAGCGUUCCACAGGGAUGCUGGCCCAUGUUGACUCUACAAGCUGUCGAAAGCGUUCCACAGGGAUGCUGGCCCAUGUUGACUCUACAAGGUGUCGAAAGCGUUCCACAGGGAUGCUGGCCCAUGUUGACUCUACAAGCUGUCGAAAGCGUUCCACAGGGAUGCUGGCCCAUGUUGACUCUACAAGCUGUCGAAAGCGUUCCACAGGGAUGCUGGCCCAUGUUGACUCUACAAGGUGUUGAAAGCGUUCCACAGGGAUGCUGGCCCAUGUUGACUCUACAAGGUGUCGAAAGCGUUCCACAGGGAUGCUGGCCCAUGUUGACUCCAAUGCUUCCCUCAGUUCCAUGUCAAGUUGGCUGGAUGUCCUUUGGGUUGUGGACCAAUUCUUGACACACACAGGAAACUGUUGAGCCUCAAAAAUCCAGUGGCGUUGCAGUUCUUGACACAAACAGGUGUUCCUGGACCUACUACCAUACCCCCGUUCAAAGGCACUUACAUUUUUUGUCUUGCCCAUUCACCCUCCGAAUGGCACACAUACACAAUCCAUGUCUCAAUAUCUCAAGGCUUAAAAAUCCUUCUUUAACCUGUCACCUCCCCUUCAUCUACACCGACUUGAAGUGGAUUUAACAAGUGACGUCAAUAGCUUUUGCCCGGAUUCACCUGGUUCCGUCUACGUCAUGGAAAGAGCAGGUGUUCUUAAUGUUUUGUAUACUCAGUGUAUAUCUCUCUGUCUCUUACUCUCUCAACCUCACCACUGUGCAGUAGUGUUGUAUUGGUCCCUAUGGCUGGCUGAGCUGGGCCUACUCCCACAUGGCCCUAUAGGGAAUCUCCCCAUGGUCCUAUCUCCAAGGCAUCCGUCCACCAUCCUGUUGUUAUCCCAGUGUGCUGAGUCAUUAUCGGUCCGUGUCUAUGGUUACUGUCUACACAUACAAACAGGUCAGGGCUAAGUUCUUCCCACCCCUGCCCUAACAUGACCCAUUAUGAGAUAAACAAAGGAAUGACCCUGGACCAGUUAUUGUGGGAAUAAUGUUACAACGUGCUGUCUGUGCAAAUAUAGAUAGAGAGAGACAUCGUCUCUUUAGCCGUCUAGUUCUGAAAAGACACGGCAAAAGCACAAACUAAAGUGGGAAAGUAAAUACGGGCCGUUUUUCUUCUCUUUCCUUUGAUGUCACUGAGGUACAUGUUUGUCAAAUGUCAGUCGUUUUUUGUGCUUACGAAACAAUUGUGAACAAAAUACGAAACUGAAAAGAAAAACGAAUGGCUGUUAAAAGCUUUACCUAAUUGAGUAAUUUUAUCAAUUGAUGAGAACGCAAGUGAAGGGGGAAGUGAGUUCGGUGUAGCCACACCACAGGCUCUCUGUCACGGUGUCUCUGUGUGUAGAUGUUAAGUAGGAUUUGUUGUCCCCUGUUUUUGGGAAAGUCCAUACCCAACUCUUAAGAGUUUGUGAACCCCACAAAGUGACAGUGGAUCUCGUUGAAGAAAGUGGGCGUUGGAGAACCGAACCAGUUACACAGUAGAAGUUAUUUAUGAGCUACAGCAACGAAGAACUCCGCUAAUCUGUUUUCCUUUCCUUUUUCCUCGUUUGCUUGUACCGGAGAGUAGGACUUGAUGAUGAGUACAUCGUGGUUAGAAGUACAUUUUUUCCCCCAUUGGACCAUGUGAGGAAACGUCCGUUCAAUAUUCCAAAUCCAAAACAUUGGAGGACAUGAUAACUGGUUACAUUGAACUGCUAGCCCGGGAAUGCACUGUAGAUUGGUAAAUGAAGACUAUAAAUAAAGUUGUAAAUUAAAU